AGGGUGUAAACGCUGCAGACUUGGUGUUGGGAACCUUCGGGGUGCUCAGUGCCGGAGAGAAGUUGUUAAGUCUGCUACUUGGGGAGUACGUCCGCAAGGAUGAAACUUAAAGGAAUUGGCGGGGGGAGGCACCGCAACGGGAGGAGCGUGCGGUUUAAUUGGAUUCAACACCGUAAAGCUCACCAGGGAAGACUGUUACAUGAAGGCCGAGAUGAAGACUCUGCUAGAUUUUCAGAGAGGUGGUGCAUGGCGUCAGUGACU
This 261-nucleotide ribosomal RNA is filed under the name uncultured archaeon. RNAcentral describes it as "partial 16S ribosomal RNA". It matches the Rfam family "Archaeal small subunit ribosomal RNA", at positions 748 to 1008 of the family's 1478-position model. The record is from RNAcentral.